This 225-nucleotide long non-coding RNA is filed under the name Nicotiana benthamiana. RNAcentral describes it as "long non-coding RNA (NBEN_LNC001242)". Lineage: Eukaryota; Viridiplantae; Streptophyta; Magnoliopsida; Solanales; Solanaceae. The record is from RNAcentral.
CAUCUUAGGUAACUUUUGUUAAGGUCAAACUUCAUAGAUCUAGUGUAUCAUCUAAAUUUGUCUGAUCUUGGUUAGAGAUAAUUUCUUGUUUACUUUUCUAAGUUAUACCAGGAAUUAUGCAGCAGGACUAAGGUUAAGUGGCUUGAGUUAUAUGUCUAAUGAAGGUUAGAAUCAAAACCACAAAUCAUAAAUGGGUUAGGUUGCAGUUAGCAAAUUGUCGAGAAC